GAAAAGACAAACCCUGGGUUUCCGUGUCUAACAUUUGACUGUCUGUUUUAUAUGAAAUUUUUUUAUAAUUAGUAUUUUCAUUGUUGUUAGAUGAUAAAAUAUGAUUAAUAUUUUAUGCGUGACUUGUCUUUUUAAUUUUUUUCAUAUUUUUUUUAAAUAAGACGGAUAGUCAAACGUUGGACACGGAAAUCCAAG
This 195-nucleotide microRNA precursor is filed under the name Oryza nivara. RNAcentral describes it as "MIR812 microRNA precursor family". It matches the Rfam family "MIR812 microRNA precursor family". Lineage: Eukaryota; Viridiplantae; Streptophyta; Magnoliopsida; Poales; Poaceae. The record is from Rfam by way of RNAcentral.